GUGAUGAUAAAAAUGCUGUGAAAAGUGAGUUAUCUAUUGUGUUUUGUGUUGCUUUAUACACAAUGUGGUCGAUUAAUGCAAUUGUAACAUUUUUUAUGUUAAGAAAUUACAUGAGUUCUAGAAAUGUGUUUUCUUAUCUUCACCUAGAAAAGAAAUGAGGUGUCACUUAUUUGAGUUUUCAGUUUCAUAUUUCUAAGAUUCUAUUUAUGCAUGAAAUUAAACUUUACAUGCUAUGCUCUGUUUUGGGGAUGGUAUUUUAACAAUGCUGUCAUUUUGAAUCUAGUACAUUUGUUUCAAGUUAACAACUACG
RNAcentral lists this unclassified non-coding RNA (310 nucleotides) under Hevea brasiliensis (rubber tree). Lineage: Eukaryota; Viridiplantae; Streptophyta; Magnoliopsida; Malpighiales; Euphorbiaceae. The record is from RNAcentral.